UACGUAGGGUGCGAGCGUUGUCCGGAAUUAUUGGGCGUAAAGAGCUCGUAGGCGGUCUGUCGCGUCGGUCGUGAAAACUUGGGGCUUAACCCUGAGCUUGCGGUCGAUACGGGCAUGACUGGAGUUCGGUAGGGGAGACUGGAAUUCCUGGAGUAGCGGUGAAAUGCGCAGAUAUCAGGAGGAACACCGGUGGCGAAGGCGGGUCUCUGGGCCGAUACUGACGCUGAGGAGCGAAAGCGUGGGGAGCGAACAGG
This 254-nucleotide ribosomal RNA is filed under the name uncultured bacterium. RNAcentral describes it as "partial 16S ribosomal RNA". It matches the Rfam family "Bacterial small subunit ribosomal RNA", at positions 524 to 776 of the family's 1533-position model. The record is from RNAcentral.